This 402-nucleotide ribosomal RNA is filed under the name Verrucomicrobiota bacterium. RNAcentral describes it as "Verrucomicrobia bacterium partial 16S ribosomal RNA". It matches the Rfam family "Bacterial small subunit ribosomal RNA", at positions 355 to 776 of the family's 1533-position model. The record is from RNAcentral. Lineage: Bacteria; Pseudomonadati; Verrucomicrobiota.
UGGGGAAUUUUGCACAAUGGGGGAAACCCUGAUGCAGCGACGCCGCGUGAUUUAGAAGGCCUUCGGGUUGUAAAAAUCUUUUGUAUGGGAAGAAAAUGACAGUACCAUACGAAUAAGGACCGGCUAAUUACGUGCCAGCAGCCGCGGUAAUACGUAAGGUCCGAGCGUUGUCCGGAAUCAUUGGGCGUAAAGGGUACGUAGGCGGAUAAGCAAGUUAGCAGUGAAAUCCUAUAGCUCAACUAUAGUAAGCUUUUAAAACUGCUCAUCUUGAGGUAUGGAAGGGAAAGUGGAAUUCCUAGUGUAGCGGUGAAAUGCGCAGAUAUUAGGAGGAAUACCGGUGGCGAAGGCGACUUUCUGGCCAUAUACUGACGCUGAGGUACGAAAGCGGGGGUAGCAAACAGG